AGUGCGCUCGAGAGAAUUGCUAGCUUGCUAAUAAUUCUCUAGUGGCGCACGGGUGAGUAACACGUGAGUAACCUGCCCCCGAGAGCGGGAUAGCCCUGGGAAACUGGGAUUAAUACCGCAUAGUAUCGAAAGAUUAAAGCAGCAAUGCGCUUGGGGAUGGGCUCGCGGCCUAUUAGUUAGUUGGUGAGGUAACGGCUCACCAAGGCGAUGACGGGUAGCCGGUCUGAGAGGAUGUCCGGCCACACUGGAACUGAGACACGGUCCAGACACCUACGGGUGGCAGCAGUCGAGAAUCAUUCACAAUGGGGGAAACCCUGAUGGUGCGACGCCGCGUGGGGGAAUGAAGGUCUUCGGAUUGUAAACCCCUGUCAUGUGGGAGCAAAUUAAAAAGAUAGUACCACAAGAGGAAGAGACGGCUAACUCUGUGCCAGCAGCCGCGGUAAUACAGAGGUCUCAAGCGUUGUUCGGAAUCACUGGGCGUAAAGCGUGCGUAGGCUGUUUCGUAAGUCGUGUGUGAAAGGCGCGGGCUCAACCCGCGGACGGCACAUGAUACUGCGAGACUAGAGUAAUGGAGGGGGAACCGGAAUUCUCGGUGUAGCAGUGAAAUGCGUAGAUAUCGAGAGGAACACUCGUGGCGAAGGCGGGUUCCUGGACAUUAACUGACGCUGAGGCACGAAGGCCAGGGGAGCGAAAGGGAUUAGAUACCCCUGUAGUCCUGGCAGUAAACGGUGCACGCUUGGUGUGCGGGGAAUCGACCCCCUGCGUGCCGGAGCUAACGCGUUAAGCGUGCCGCCUGGGGAGUACGGUCGCAAGAUUAAAACUCAAAGAAAUUGACGGGGACCCGCACAAGCGGUGGAGUAUGUGGCUUAAUUCGAUGCAACGCGAAGAACCUUACCUGGGCUUGACAUGUAAUGAACAACAUGUGAAAGCAUGCGACUCUUCGGAGGCGUUACACAGGUGCUGCAUGGCCGUCGUCAGCUCGUGUCGUGAGAUGUUUGGUUAAGUCCAGCAACGAGCGCAACCCCUGUUGCCAGUUACCAGCACGUGAAGGUGGGGACUCUGGCGAGACUGCCCAGAUCAACUGGGAGGAAGGUGGGGACGACGUCAGGUCAGUAUGGCCCUUAUGCCCAGGGCUGCACACGUACUACAAUGCCCAGUACAGAGGGGGCCGAAGCCGCGAGGCGGAGGAAAUCCUAAAAACUGGGCCCAGUUCGGACUGUAGGCUGCAACCCGCCUACACGAAGCCGGAAUCGCUAGUAAUGGCGCAUCAGCUACGGCGCCGUGAAUACGUUCCCGGGUCUUGUACACACCGCCCGUCACAUCAUGGAAGCACGGUCAGCACCUAGAAGUAUAUCAAGCCUCAGC
Molecule: ribosomal RNA, 1365 nt
Filed under: Akkermansia muciniphila
Lineage: Bacteria; Pseudomonadati; Verrucomicrobiota; Verrucomicrobiia; Verrucomicrobiales; Akkermansiaceae
Description: bacterial SSU rRNA
Rfam family: Bacterial small subunit ribosomal RNA
Source: RNAcentral